RNAcentral lists this ribosomal RNA (460 nucleotides) under Streptomyces diastaticus. RNAcentral's name for it is "partial 23S ribosomal RNA". It matches the Rfam family "Bacterial large subunit ribosomal RNA", at positions 2472 to 2925 of the family's 2925-position model. The record is from RNAcentral. Lineage: Bacteria; Bacillati; Actinomycetota; Actinomycetes; Kitasatosporales; Streptomycetaceae.
GGAUAACAGGCUGAUCUUCCCCAAGAGUCCAUAUCGACGGGAUGGUUUGGCACCUCGAUGUCGGCUCGUCGCAUCCUGGGGCUGGAGUCGGUCCCAAGGGUUGGGCUGUUCGCCCAUUAAAGCGGUACGCGAGCUGGGUUUAGAACGUCGUGAGACAGUUCGGUCCCUAUCCGCUGUGCGCGUAGGAGUCUUGAGAAGGGCUGUCCCUAGUACGAGAGGACCGGGACGGACGAACCUCUGGUGUGCCAGUUGUUCUGCCAAGGGCAUGGCUGGUUGGCUACGUUCGGGAGGGAUAACCGCUGAAAGCAUCUAAGCGGGAAGCCUGCUUCGAGAUGAGGACUCCCACCCACUUGAUGGGGUAAGGCUCCCAGUAGACGACUGGGUUGAUAGGCCGGAUCUGGAAGCACCGUGAGGUGUGGAGGUGACCGGUACUAAUAGGCCGAGGGCUUGUCCUCAGUUG